Ictidomys tridecemlineatus (thirteen-lined ground squirrel) is the source of this 71-nucleotide non-coding RNA. Lineage: Eukaryota; Metazoa; Chordata; Mammalia; Rodentia; Sciuridae. The record is from Rfam.
UGGGGGUGGCUCAGUGGUAGAGCGCUGGCCUAGCAGGCCUGAGGCCCUGGGUUCUAUCCCUAGCACCUCAA